GGGUAUAGUUCAACAGUAGAAUAGAGGUCUCCAAAACCUUUGGUGUGGGUUCGAUUCCUACUACCC
RNAcentral lists this transfer RNA (66 nucleotides) under Mammaliicoccus lentus. It matches the Rfam family "tRNA". From Rfam's summary of the family: Transfer RNA (tRNA) molecules are approximately 80 nucleotides in length. Their secondary structure includes four short double-helical elements and three loops (D, anti-codon, and T loops). Further hydrogen bonds mediate the characteristic L-shaped molecular structure. tRNAs have two regions of fundamental functional importance: the anti-codon, which is responsible for specific mRNA codon recognition, and the 3' end, to which the tRNAs corresponding amino acid is attached (by aminoacyl-tRNA synthetases). tRNAs cope with the degeneracy of the genetic code in two manners: having more than one tRNA (with a specific anti-codon) for a particular amino acid; and 'wobble' base-pairing, i.e. permitting non-standard base-pairing at the 3rd anti-codon position. The record is from RNAcentral. Lineage: Bacteria; Bacillati; Bacillota; Bacilli; Caryophanales; Staphylococcaceae.